Long non-coding RNA from Cyprinus carpio carpio, 3912 nucleotides. Lineage: Eukaryota; Metazoa; Chordata; Actinopteri; Cypriniformes; Cyprinidae. The record is from Ensembl.
AUGUGUGUGGGAAGGCAAGGAACCAUAACAUUUCUUUGUAAGUUUCUGUCACUUGGUGAUGAGGAUAUGAUGGGGCAUCGGAGUUUUGACUCGGGAUGCAGUUAUCUUCCGCUCUGCCUCUCAUGGCAGAUGUCUGCAAUGUUUUCAGUCUUUCUCCAUUCCAGCCCCUCCCAGAAGUGUCAGAUUCCUCUUACAGGGGGUGUAGCCGAUCGCUCCUCAGCUUUUCCUGUUCUUCACAGCCAUAAUGCCUCUUUCUUCAUGUUGUAUCGCCCUUUGGCAGCUGCCCAAGAUGUCGUCUUGUUGCUUCUAUAAAAUGAACACUCAAGAGAACCGCAUUAUAAACUUUGACCACAAUUGCAUAUAAGCAAUCUCUGGUAUGGUCAGUCAUCUUGUGCAACUGUCCAAAAUUUAAGGAAUCUCAUCCAGUUAACAGUAUAUAUAUAUAGCAGUUCUUUGGUUUAUUUUAAUAAGCAAGUUCUUCUUUGCUGGAAAAGUGCAAGCAAUUCCUUCUUUGCAGAAUGCAGAAAAGAGCAGUAACCUAUUCUAUCUGAUAUGAGCAUUUAUGAGCAUUAUACUUCUAUAAUUCUUAUGUACACAUCAGCAUGAUGCAUUGUAUUAUAACUUCAGACUGAAAUCUUGUAAAUAGUCUACCAAAUGUAACAACCAAAGUUAAGAUUUUUUAUUUUAUUUAUUUUUUUUAAUCUAAAUUAUUAGCUUAAUACGGCCGUUUAAAAUAGUCACUCAAUCUUGUUCCCAUUGAUCACAAUGCACAAGUUAUUUUAGUUAACACAAAAACUAUAGUCUCAAUCUCCACAAUGUAUCACAUUUCAGGCUGUCCCCCAGAGAUAACGGACACACAAACUUCACUCUUGUAAAGAUAAAAUGUAAUGCAAGCUAUCUCUUUGAAAACAUCUAUUUAUCAUUAUAUUACUUGUUUAUUCAUCAAUAUAAUUCCCUUGUGGCUCCCACUUUUCAUAUAAACUAGCCUUUAACUUUUCAGAGCCAAUACUUAACUCAAAUGUCCUAAAAAAAAUUCUGCCAAAUCAUCUAAAUACAGUUUUCAUUUCUGCUCUAUACAUUGCCAUCCCUCUGAUCAACAAUACUGUCCUAAUUUUGGCUUUGUUGGUUACUGACAUAUAGGCGUGCUUCCAUUUCCCUUCAUAUUGCGCAAAAUGACAUUGCGAAUUGAAAAUACGCCUAAUGGAAACACCAAUUUAAAAAAAACUAGCUGUUUUUAUUCAUAUUUUAUAUUUUAUUAUUAAAAAAUUAAUAAUUCGCAAACCUGCUGUGGAAACAGGGUUUUCACAUUUACAGGUCACAUGCCGUAUGUAAAAAGUCAUAUGAUAAUUCUUCAACGUACUAUAACCUCCAAAAAACAUUUCAUACGUCCAGUAUAAGGGUUUUCCCCUACCAUUAAUGCUUAGACAAUUUACACUGCACACAUCUGCGAUGCAGUUUGGCUCUGAUACAGCCACUGAAGCUGAUCGCAGCCACUCUAGUCAAUGCUUGUGUUUGCUCCAGCCGCGACACGGAUUGUCUCUGAAGCAGCUCUCAGCUGUAAAGAUACAUGCAUACGCCUCCUUUGAAUAAAUAUAGACAAAAUCAGUUGUCAUGACUUAUCGCGAGUGGCAAAAUAUUACGUUUUAGAAGCAUAACCUUGGUUAAUGGAAACACUGUCAUUUCACAAUGCUUUUUUUUUUAAUUUAAUUUAAUUUAUUUAUUUUUUUUAUCGACAUUUAUAAAAUAUCAACAAAAUUUUGCGCAAAUCUGUAAUGGAAACCCACCUAGUGCCUCUUAAAAUAGCAACUCACUGAUCAAACACAGCUGAGAGAGAACAAAGCAAGAGUAGAUUCGUUUCAAAACUUCACUAAAUCCAAGUGAACUUAGAAUGGCAAAUAGCCAUUAGAUGAAUGUGCACUAAACAAUUUGAUGGAACACUACUCUGCUGUUUCACCCAUCCUGUAUAGAUCAAGGGACAUACAUAGACAAUUAAAAGAAUUGCGAUUUAUCAAUUUAUUUGUUUUAGUGCCUUGCAAGGACUUCACAAAACUCUCAAAUCAUUUAAAAUCCUAAAUCUAGGAAGGACUGAGAAUGUCAAUGUGAGAAUAGGUAACAAAGAUAGCCUUUCACGAAGCGUCCAUUCGCUUUUUAAGAAUGAGUAAUGAAAAAAAGUUAUCUUUUGCGAAACUUCUAUUCUAAUAACAGUCAGUCGCGACCCGAUACUGUUCUUCCCGUAUGUCUUACACAGUACGAGGAUAACCCACUCUGCCAAAUAUGACAGAGUCCAAAUUCACGGCACGAAAAAUAUGUUCAAUUUCUUAACAGACAGUAAGAAUAAUUAAAGAUUAUUCCUCACCUGUCUGCAGAAAUCCCGACGAGCCCCCACUGUUAAAUAACACAUAAUUCUGUCUUUAUCUUUUCGAUGCCGUCCGACCAUUCUCAGUCCUUGCAUGAGCUCAUGGAAAGAAGUAAAUGAACAUGAAGCCUUUUAGUCUGCUCACAAACUUCUUCCCCGUUUAUUAUUACAUUCACACAUUAUAUAGUUGCAUUGCAAAGGGUGGUGUAGUGGUUUAUCCAAUAAGCAUUGUACACUACACCAUAUAGGAAUGUCUAGAAAACAAGGGGGUUUCCCUCCUGCUGCCUCUAGAGCCCGUACAUCUGUAUGUUAUAUAGAAUGGAAGUAUGGCCAGGAAGUUCUGGACAUAUUAGGCAUACACUUGGCCAAGGAUACUUCAACUCUGAGCAGAAGGACAGACCGAACUCAAUAACCUUCGGGCCUAUAGCCCCCGUCCUGGUCUGAACAUCUGAACUCAUGAGGAAAUAUGCAUGUGUGUGCAUACAUUGAGGUAUAGAAAGAGAACACAGAAGGGAGGAGGGAGCAAGACAGAAGAAAAGGAGUAAGAAGGGAGGAGGGAUUGCAGAGAGGCACAAAAACAUCUGGCAGAGAGCAUAAUAUAAUCUAACACCAACUUUUGGCGCUUUUGGCAGUGUGGGCAGGUGCCAAAUCCUGCUGGAAAAUGAAAUCAGCAUCUUCAAAAAGCUGGUCAGCAGAAGGAAGUAUGAAGUGCUCCAAAAUUUCUUGUUAAACGGGUGCAGUGAUUUUGGUUUUCAAAAAACACAAGGGACCAACACCAGUAGAUGGCAUUGCACCCCAAAUCAUUACAGAUUGUAGAAACUUAACACUGGACUUCAAGCAGCUUGGGCUAUGAGCUUCUCCACCCUUCCUCCAGACUCUAGGACCUUGGUUUCCAAAUGAAAUACAAAACUUGCUCUCAUCUGAAAAGAGGACUUUGGACCAAUGGCAACAGUCCAUUUCUUCUUCUCCUUAGCCCAGGUAAGAUGCCUCUGACGUUGUCUGUGGUUCAGGAGUGGCUUAACAAGAGGAAUACGACAACUGUAGACAAAUUCCUUGGUGGCUCUUGAAGCCUUGUCCCCAGCCUCAGUCCAUUCCUUGUGAAGUUAACUCAAAUUCUUGAAUCGAUUUUGCUUGACAAUCCUCAUAAGGCUGCGGUUCUCUCGGUUGGUUGUGCAUCUUUUUCUUCCACACUUUUUCCUUCCACUCAACUUUAUGUUAACAUGCUUGGAUACAGCACUCUGUGAACAACCAGCUUCUUUGGCAAUGAAUGUUUGUGGCUUACCCUCCUUGUGUAGGGUGUCUUCUGGACAAGUUUCAGAUCAGCAGUCUUCCCCAUGAUUGUGUAGCCUAGUUAACCAAACUGAGAGACCAUUUUGAAGGCUCAGAAGCCUUUGCAGGUGUUUUGAGUAGAUUAGCUGAUUGGCAUGUCACCAUAUUCUAAUUUGUUGAGUUUUUGUUAAAUGUAAGCCAAAAUCAUCACAAUUAAAAGAACCAAAGACUUAAACUACUUCAGUCUGUGUGCACUGAAUUUAUUUAAUACACGAGUUUCACAAUUU